Molecule: unclassified non-coding RNA, 237 nt
Filed under: uncultured fungus
Lineage: Eukaryota; Fungi
Description: sequence contains ITS1, 5.8S rRNA gene
Rfam family: 5.8S ribosomal RNA (bases 189-237)
Source: RNAcentral
UCUCCGUAGGUGAACCUGCGGAGGGAUCAUUACAAGUGACCCCGGUCUAACCACCGGGAUGUUCAUAACCCUUUGUUGUCCGACUCUGUUGCCUCCGGGGCGACCCUGCCUUCGGGCGGGGGCUCCGGGUGGACACUUCAAACUCUUGCGUAACUUUGCAGUCUGAGUAAACUUAAUUAAUAAAUUAAAACUUUUAACAACGGAUCUCUUGGUUCUGGCAUCGAUGAAGAACGCAGC